UACACACCAAACAAGCAAAUGAAUCAAUGAAUGGUAACAGUGCAGGCAACUUUACUUGCUCCCAAUUUCAUCUUGAACUUGUAUCAGAAAGUAGUUUACGAGAGGAAAAUGCUUAGGCAUCAGAAUGUCAAUAUAUAUAUAUAUAUAUAUAUAUAUAUACAUACAUACACACACAAGCAAACAAGCACAAGCAAAAUUUGGAUUUUAAUAUACACAGAGCAAUGCAGUUUCAAAAACUUGAGAAUAUUAACUCUUAACUGUAAAAUUAUUGUUACUAAUCACAUUAUGAUCGUCAAUACCAUUGUUGAUAUUACCAUGGGUUGAUUAAUUCAAUACUUGAGAAGUUCUAUAAAAACUCUAAACAUGCAAAAUAAAUCAAUAAUGUUUUAUACACAUGUACAUAUUAUUAUAAACACAUUUUUUGAAUGUGGAAAAUUCUUAAAUCAUUUUUGUUUGCCAACCACCUCUAAUACUCCACCAAGAAUCAUAAACAAACUUCCAAUUUUUUUCUGGUCAAAAGGUUGUCACGUUUUAUUUUAUUUUCUUUUUCCAAAGCAAUUCUACUACUAUCCUCAUAACUUCGUUGGUUUGAUCUGGAGGAAGGAAGGAAAAUGCAAAGCAUAAAUACUGAAAUUUUGUAGGAAAAAGAGAAAAAUGUUAAACAAUGA
RNAcentral lists this long non-coding RNA (668 nucleotides) under Physcomitrium patens. RNAcentral describes it as "long non-coding RNA (PPAT_LNC003314)". The record is from RNAcentral. Lineage: Eukaryota; Viridiplantae; Streptophyta; Bryopsida; Funariales; Funariaceae.